Thalassophryne amazonica is the source of this 157-nucleotide long non-coding RNA. RefSeq lists it as uncharacterized. Lineage: Eukaryota; Metazoa; Chordata; Actinopteri; Batrachoidiformes; Batrachoididae. The transcript has 2 exons. The record is from RefSeq and is a predicted model, not a curated record.
ACAGCUAAAGGGGUCUUUCUCCUGUAUGAAUUAGCAUAUGGGCUUUCAGGGUGCUGCUUUUGUUAAAUAUUUUCCCACACUCAGAACAGCUAAAAGCUCUUUCAUCUUUAUGAAUUAGUAUAUGGGAAAACAGAUCAGUGUUUUUGUGAAAUGAUUU